UACGGGGGGGGCAAGCGUUGUUCGGAAUUACUGGGCGUAAAGGGCUCGUAGGCGGCCAACUAAGUCGGAUGUGAAAUCCCCAGGCUCAACCUGGGAACUGCAUCCGAUACUGGAUGGCUUGAAUCCGGGAGAGGGAUGCAGAAUUCCUGGUGUAGCGGUGAAAUGCGCAGAUAUCAGGAGGAACACCGGUGGCGAAGGCGGGUCUCUGGGCCGAUACUGACGCUGAGGAGCGAAAGCGUGGGGAGCGAACAGG
RNAcentral lists this ribosomal RNA (253 nucleotides) under uncultured bacterium. Its description in RNAcentral is "partial 16S ribosomal RNA". It matches the Rfam family "Bacterial small subunit ribosomal RNA", at positions 524 to 776 of the family's 1533-position model. The record is from RNAcentral.